UACGUAGGUGGCGAGCGUUGUCCGGAUUUACUGGGUGUAAAGGGCGUGUAGGCGGGUUUGCAAGUCAGAUGUGAAAUUCCAGGGCUCAACCCUGGCGCUGCAUCUGAAACUGUAGAUCUUGAGUGCUGGAGAGGAAAGCGGAAUUCCUAGUGUAGCGGUGAAAUGCGUAGAUAUUAGGAGGAACACCAGUGGCGAAGGCGGCUUUCUGGACAGUAACUGACGCUGAGGCGCGAAAGCGUGGGGAGCAAACAGG
RNAcentral lists this ribosomal RNA (253 nucleotides) under uncultured bacterium. RNAcentral's name for it is "partial 16S ribosomal RNA". It matches the Rfam family "Bacterial small subunit ribosomal RNA", at positions 524 to 776 of the family's 1533-position model. The record is from RNAcentral.